UCCUCGAAUAACUUCUGGCACAGACAUCUGAGGGCAAGACCGUCGAAGAAGAAAAUGUAGCCCUUGAUGUCAUUUAUCGACCACAGGUUAUAAAUUGGCGAUCUGUUGGAUACCGAUCGAGUUAUAGGCAAAACUUGGUGCAAAAAUGAGGAAAAUUUUACAUUUUCUCAAACAGGGUAAGGAACUUGGUUCCUCGAAUAACUUCUGGCACAGACAUCUGAGGGCAUGGCCGUCCAAGAACAUAAUGUAGCCAUUGGUACCACCUAUCGACCACAGGUUAAAGAUUGGCGAUCCGUUGGAUACCAACCGAGUUAUAGGCAAAACUUGAUGCAAAAAUGAGGAAAAUUUUACAUUUUCUCAAACAGGGUAAGGAACUUGGUUCCUCCAAUAACUUCUGGCACAGACAUCUGAGGGCAUGGCCGUCCAAGAAGAUAAUGUAGCCAUUGGUGCCAUCUAUCGACGACAGGUUAAAGAUUGGCGAUCUGUUGGAUACCGACCGAGUUAUAGGGAAAACUUGGUGCAAAAAUGAGGAAAAUUUUACAUUUUCUCAAACAGGGUAGGGAACUCGAAUAACUUCUGGCACAGACAUCUGAGGGCAUGGCCGUUCAAGAAGAAAAUGUAGCCAUUGGUGCCAUCUAUCGACCACAGGUUAAAGAUUGGCGAUCCGUUGGAUACCGACCGAGUUAUAGGCAAAACUUGAUGCAAAAAUGAGGAAAAUUUUACAUUUUCUCAAACAGGGUAAGGAACUUGGUUCCUCGAAUAACUUCUGGCACAGACAUCUGAGGGCAUGGCCGUGCAAGAAGAAAAUGUAGCUAUUGGUGCCAUCUAUCGACCACAGGUUAAAGAUUGGCGAUCCGUUGGAUACCGACCGAGUUAUAGGCAAAACUUGAUGCAAAAAUGAACCAUUUGAAAUUUUCAAAUUUUUAUAUUUUUUUUUAAUUUUUUCUGAUUUUUUUUAAUUUAAAGCAUUAUUUGAGUGAAAAUAAACUUAUUGGCCAAUUGGCAUUAAAAUAAAUCAAUUUAAUUUUUUUUGCAAAAUUUCUCAAAAAAAUGGCAAGGGGUAAGCCUUAUGAAAUUUUCGAGUAGAAAUUUUUUUUGAAAUUUUUUCUGAUUUUUUAUUCUUUUUUUAAUUUAAAGCAAUAUUUAAGUGAAAAGAAACUUACUGCAACAAAUUCCCAUUAAAAUAUAUGACAUUUUUCAAUUUUGCUAAAUUACUCAAAAAUGAGGAAAAUUUUACAUUUUCUCAAAUAGGGUAAGGAACUUGAUUCCUCGAAUAACUUCUGGCACAUGCAUAUGAGGGCAUGGCCGUCCAAGAAGAAAAUGUAGCCAUUGGUGCCAUCUAUCGACCACAGGUUAAAGAUUGGCGAUCCGUUGGAUACCGACCGAGUUACAGGCAAAACUUGGUGCAAAAAUGAGGAAAAUUUUAUAUUUUCUCAAACAGGGUAAGGAACUUGGUUCCUCCAAUAACUUCUGGCACAGACAUCUGAGGGCAUGGCCGUCCAAGAAGAAAAUGUAGCCAUUGGUGCCAUCUAUCGACCACAGGUUAAAGAUUGGCGAUCCGUUGGAUACCGACCGAGUUACAGGCAAAACUUUGUGCAAAAAUGAGGAAAAUUUUAUAUUUUCUCAAACAGGGUAAGGAACUUGGUUCCUCCAAUAACUUCUGGCACAGACAUCUGAGGGCAUGGCCGUCCAAGAAGAAAAUGUAGCCAUUGGUACCACCUAUUGACCACAGGUUAAAGAUUGGCGAUCCGUUGGAUACCAACCGAGUUAUAGGCAAAACUUGAUGCAAAAAUGAAUCCUUUGAAAUUUUCAAAUUUUUAUUUUUUUUUAAUUUUUAUCUAAUUUUUUAUUAUUUUUUUUUAAUUUAAAGCAUUAUUUGAGUGAAAAUAAACGUAUUGGCACCAAUUGGCAUUAAAAUUAAUCAAUUUAAUUUUUUUUGCAAAAUUUCUCAAAAAAAUGGUAAGGGGUAAGCCUUAUGAAAUUUUCGAGUGGAAAUUUUUUUUUAAAUUUUUUCUGAUUUUUUAUUCUUUUUUUAAUUUAAAGUAAUAUUUAAGUGAAAAGAAACUUACUGCAACAAAUUCCCAAUAAAAUAUAUGACAUUUUUCAAUUUUGCUAAAUUACUCAAAAAUGAGGAAAAUUUUAUAUUUUCUCAAACAGGGUAAGGAACUUGAUUCCUAAAAUAACUUCUGGCACAGGCAUAUGAGGGCAUGGCCGUCCAAGAAGAAAAUGUAGCCAUUGGUGCCAUCUAUCGACCACAGGUUAAAGAUUGGCGAUCCGUUGGAUACCAACCGAGUUACAGGCAAAACUUGAUGCAAAAAUGAGGAAAAUUUUACAUUUUCUUAAACAGGGUAAGGAACUUGAUUCCUCGAAUAACUUCUGGCACAGACAUCUGAGGGCAUGGCCGUCCAAGAAGAAAAUGUAGCCAUUGGUGCCAUCUAUCGACCACAGGUUAAAGAUUGGCGAUCCGUUGGAUACCGACCGAGUUAUAGGCAAAACUUGAUGCAAAAAUGAGGAAAAUUUUACAUUUUCUCAAACAGGGUAAGGAACUUGAUUCCUCGAAUAACUUCUGGCACAGACAUCUGAGGGCAUGGCCGUCCAAGAAGAAAAUGUAG
Molecule: long non-coding RNA, 2612 nt
Organism: Anopheles funestus (African malaria mosquito)
Lineage: Eukaryota; Metazoa; Arthropoda; Insecta; Diptera; Culicidae
Exons: 4
Source: RefSeq, a predicted model, not a curated record